Molecule: ribosomal RNA, 312 nt
Filed under: uncultured microorganism
Description: bacterial SSU rRNA
Rfam family: Archaeal small subunit ribosomal RNA
Source: RNAcentral
GUGCAGCAGGCGCGAAAACUUCACAAUGUGCGAAAGCACGAUGAGGGAAUCCCAAGUGCUUGCACGUAAGUGUAAGCUGUUUCUCUGUCUAAAACGCAGAGAGAGUAAGGGCUGGGUAAGACGGGUGCCAGCCGCCGCGGGUAAUACCUGCAGCUCGAGUGGUGACCGUUAUUAUUGGGCCUAAAACGUCCGUAGCCGGCUUAAUAAAUGCCUGGGUAAAUCGGACCGCUUAACGGUUCGAAUUCCGGGUAGACUGUUAAACUUGAGACCGGGAGAAGUUAGAGGUACUCCGUGGGGUAGAGGUGAAAUUCU